Poeciliopsis prolifica (blackstripe livebearer) is the source of this 759-nucleotide long non-coding RNA. RefSeq lists it as uncharacterized. The transcript has 4 exons. The record is from RefSeq and is a predicted model, not a curated record. NCBI's taxonomy places the organism in Eukaryota, Metazoa, Chordata, Actinopteri, Cyprinodontiformes, Poeciliidae.
UUUAAUAAAUGUAUCUCAAAUAAGAAGUCCUUCACCAUCUUCACCAUCAAUAGAGACAUAAGCUUGUAAUACUUUUAUGCAAUUUGAAUUUUAUUAUUAAUCUGAUAAAGACUACAGACGCAUGCUUUGAUGCAAAGAUUAUUGUAACCCAUGUGACCGACAUGACCCAAUCACCUUCCCUUUAAGCCCAUCCCUUUAAGUUCAUUGUCAUGUGUGUUUCCGGGUUGGCUGCUGCUCACUGUUGGUUGUCGCGUCCGUUGUUGAUAAAACAACUUGAAGUUAUAAAUCGACUCAUCACUCAUUUAAUCUAAACUCAACUUUGAAGAUUUCUGCUGGAACACCUUCCUGAAUUGAACAAGUUACCAUUGCAUCCACCUCCUCAGACAAUCCGUUACUCGACGGUCAGGUUUUUUUUUCUUCCGGACUCCUGCACGGAUACAUUGGAUGACGGAAGAUGGCGAGCUACCCACCCACCAUCUGGUGGUCAGGUUUUUUUUUCUUCCGGACUCCUGCACGGAUACAUUGGAUGACGGAAGAUGGCGAGCUACCCACCCACCAUCUGGUGGUAGGAAACAGAACUACACUUUCCAUAUAGGAACUGAACAGACUCUAAGGAGUAUCAAAAAAAAAGGGAAAAUAACUAUUCUCCCUUCAUUUUUGGACCUCUUGUGGACUCUAUUAGGUUUUGAAGUGUCACUGACAAGUGUUUUGUUUGUUUUCUAUUUUCCUGUUUUUUGAGAACUUUAUUUAUUUAUUUUU